AUUCAACGCUGGCGGCAGGCCUAACACAUGCAAGUCGAGCGGGGUGAUGGUGCUUGCACUAUCACUUAGCGGCGGACGGGUGAGUACUGCUUAGGAAUCUGCCUAGUAGUGGGGGACAACCUCUCGAAAGGGAUGCUAAUACCGCAUACGGCCUACGGGAGAAAGCAGGGGAUCACUUGUGACCUUCACCGAAUAGAUGAGCCCAAGGCGGAUUAGCUAGUUGGUGGGGUAAAGGCCUACCAAGGCGACGAUCUGUAGCGGGUCUGAGAGGAUGAUCCGCCACGCUGGGACUGAGAGACGGCCCAGACUCCUACGGGAGGGAGCAGUGGGGAAUAUUGGACAAUGGGGGGAACCCUGAUCCAGCCAUGCCGCGUGUGUGAAGAAGGCCUUAUGGUUGUAAAGCACUUUGAGCGAGGAGGAGGCUCUUUUGGUUAAUACCCAAGAUGAGUGGACGUUACUCGCAGAAUAAGCACCGGCUAACUCUGUGCCAGCCGCCGCGGUAA
RNAcentral lists this ribosomal RNA (503 nucleotides) under uncultured bacterium. Its description in RNAcentral is "partial 16S ribosomal RNA". It matches the Rfam family "Bacterial small subunit ribosomal RNA", at positions 32 to 523 of the family's 1533-position model. The record is from RNAcentral.